GGAAGCAGCCCAGCCUGGGCCUAGGAAGCAGCCUCGGGGACACCAUGGCCUGGACGCCUCUCCUCCUGGGCCUCCUCGCUCACUGCACAGGCUCCGUGGCCUCAUAUGAUCUGACUCAGCAGUCCUCGAUGUCGGUGACCCUGGGACAGGCAGCCAGGAUCCCCUGUGGGGGAGAUGGCAUUGGAGGUAAAUACGUGCACUGGUACCAGCAGAAGCCAGACCAAGCCCCCAAACUGGUCAUGUAUGAAGAUGACGAUCGGCCCUCGGGGAUCCCUGACCGAUUCUCAGGCUCCAACUCAGGGAACACGGCCACCCUGACCAUCAGCGGGGCCCAGGCUGAGGACGAGGCCGACUACUACUGUCAGGUGUGGGAUAGCAGUGACAUUGCUCACAGUGACACAGGCAGACGGGGAACCGAGGCCCUCCUGAGUUAUGCUGGACCACCCAGAAACCAACCUGCUUCAGUAAGGGCGACUGACCCAGAGCCUCUUCCAUCCUGGGAGAUGAUAGGCCAGGGCAGCGCAGCCGUGAGCUCAGCAGGCAGAGUUGUGGGCAUGGACCUGUGA
This is a non-coding RNA of Tupaia belangeri chinensis (Chinese tree shrew), 566 nucleotides long. The record is from the annotation of a RefSeq genome assembly. NCBI's taxonomy places the organism in Eukaryota, Metazoa, Chordata, Mammalia, Scandentia, Tupaiidae.